Streptococcus suis 05ZYH33 is the source of this 115-nucleotide non-coding RNA. Lineage: Bacteria; Bacillati; Bacillota; Bacilli; Lactobacillales; Streptococcaceae. The record is from Rfam.
AUCUCCUUUAACUAAGUCCAGAGAGGCUAGGAAGGUGUCAUGUAAUAUGCUUGAAAGGUGAUUUUCAAGCUGAAUUCGUGCACAUCCCUGACCGAUUUGGCAGGGAUUUUUGUGU